Molecule: transfer RNA, 104 nt
Filed under: Candidatus Thorarchaeota archaeon AB_25
Lineage: Archaea; Promethearchaeati; Candidatus Thorarchaeota
Description: tRNA-Val
Rfam family: tRNA
About the family: Transfer RNA (tRNA) molecules are approximately 80 nucleotides in length. Their secondary structure includes four short double-helical elements and three loops (D, anti-codon, and T loops). Further hydrogen bonds mediate the characteristic L-shaped molecular structure. tRNAs have two regions of fundamental functional importance: the anti-codon, which is responsible for specific mRNA codon recognition, and the 3' end, to which the tRNAs corresponding amino acid is attached (by aminoacyl-tRNA synthetases). tRNAs cope with the degeneracy of the genetic code in two manners: having more than one tRNA (with a specific anti-codon) for a particular amino acid; and 'wobble' base-pairing, i.e. permitting non-standard base-pairing at the 3rd anti-codon position.
Source: RNAcentral
GGGCCGGUGGUCUAGCCCGGUUAUGACGUCGCCUUCACAAAUAGAGUUCUCAGGACCUCUAUGGGAUUCGGCGAAUAUCACGAGUUCAACUCUCGUCCGGCCCA